GUGCUCACUUCAGCAGCACAUAUACUAAAACUGGAAUGAUACAGAGGUGAUUAGUAUGGCCCCUGC
Small nuclear RNA from Mesocricetus auratus (golden hamster), 66 nucleotides. NCBI's taxonomy places the organism in Eukaryota, Metazoa, Chordata, Mammalia, Rodentia, Cricetidae. The record is from Ensembl.